CAGAUACGCUAAUACCGUGGGUGCAAAUUCUCUGGAAAAACAAAGAGAUGUUAGAGCACGACAUGCAUUGCCCAAGUCAUCGUGCAGAAACAAUGCCAAUGUAGGAGGAGAACCAGCGCAUGAUGUUGUUCUGUGCUCAAGGAACUUUAAGGAGGUCACAAUAUUGGAUGUGUUAAACAUUCUCCCUGAGGACUAUAAUUAUGAUCCUAGUCUAGCAAAUGUGAGCGUCUUGGAGGCUGCAAAGAGGCGAGGGAUAAAUUUUCCUUAGGUCUUCUUAGCACUUAGCAGCCAGAUGAGGGAAACAAAGUAGGAGAUGAUGAUGAUUAUAAGAGGGAGUAGGUUUCAAGUGAAAACGGGUCUUCUAGGGGAUUUUGCAUGGUUGGUUAAUUUUUGAGGCAUGAGUUGUUUAGUUUACAGCUUCUAUAUCUGCAAACUAGAAGUCAUUCUAAUGCUUUGCUUGUUUGCUGGACUAAUUUGUUUGCUGGAAUUAUUUUGUAGCAUGUCUUGUUAAUAGCUUUAUAUUGCAGUCAUCAUUGAUCCUUGAAUGAGUUUGCAAAUUCCAAUUACUCUUGUUCCUUAAAAUGGGCUAUAACAAUUUCUAUUCGUCC
Molecule: unclassified non-coding RNA, 608 nt
Filed under: Hevea brasiliensis (rubber tree)
Lineage: Eukaryota; Viridiplantae; Streptophyta; Magnoliopsida; Malpighiales; Euphorbiaceae
Source: RNAcentral